RNAcentral lists this ribosomal RNA (253 nucleotides) under uncultured bacterium. Its description in RNAcentral is "partial 16S ribosomal RNA". It matches the Rfam family "Bacterial small subunit ribosomal RNA", at positions 524 to 776 of the family's 1533-position model. The record is from RNAcentral.
UACAGGGGGUGCAACCGUUGCUCGGAAUUACUGGGCGUAAAGCGUGCGCAGGCGGUUUUGUAAGCCAGAUGUGAAAUCCCCGGGCUUAACCUGGGAAUGGCAUUUGGGACUGCAAGGCUGGAGUGUGGCAGAGGAGACUGGAAUUCCUGGUGUAGCAGUGAAAUGCGUAGAUAUCAGGAGGAAUACCGAUGGCGAAGGCAGGUCUCUGGGCUAACACUGACGCUCAUGCACGAAAGCGUGGGGAGCAAACAGG